UACGUAGGGUGCGAGCGUUAAUCGGAAUUACUGGGCGUAAAGCGUGCGCAGGCGGUAAUGUAAGACAGAUGUGAAAUCCCCGGGCUUAACCUGGGACCUGCAUUUGUGACUGCAUUGCUGGAGUGCGGCAGAGGGGGAUGGAAUUCCGCGUGUAGCAGUGAAAUGCGUAGAUAUGCGGAGGAACACCGAUGGCGAAGGCAAUCCCCUGGGCUUGCACUGACGCUCAUGCACGAAAGCGUGGGGAGCAAACAGG
This 253-nucleotide ribosomal RNA is filed under the name uncultured bacterium. Its description in RNAcentral is "partial 16S ribosomal RNA". It matches the Rfam family "Bacterial small subunit ribosomal RNA", at positions 524 to 776 of the family's 1533-position model. The record is from RNAcentral.